UCCUACUAGAGUUCGAUUCUGUUCUUAAUUGAAUGGAGUAGCUAUCUUUCGGGGUGGUCAAUUGGUUGUUAUAUCUCCACUAAUAAGCGGAGAGGGGUAAAACCUUCAAAGUAAGUUAUGUGGGUCAAGGUAUGAUGAUUAAUUGGAGUUCUAGUUCAUUUACUUUGAGAAAAUUAGAGUGUUUAAAGCAGCCUCUUAGGGCACUGAAUACAUUAGCAUGGGAUAAUAAAAAUAGGAUCUUCACAAUAUAUUUUAUUGGUUUAAAUUGCGUAUGAAGAUAAUGAUUAAUAGGACAGUUGGGGUAGUUCAUAUUGGGUGGUUAGCGGUGAAAUGCUCGGAUCCAUUCAAGAUGAACUAAAGCGAAGGCAUUUACCAAGGAUGUUUUCUAUUAAUCAAGAACGAAAGUUAAGGAUCGAAGACGAUUAGAUACCGUCGUAGUCUUAACUAU
RNAcentral lists this ribosomal RNA (448 nucleotides) under uncultured eukaryote. RNAcentral describes it as "bacterial SSU rRNA". It matches the Rfam family "Eukaryotic small subunit ribosomal RNA", at positions 626 to 1033 of the family's 1831-position model. The record is from RNAcentral.